Molecule: ribosomal RNA, 315 nt
Filed under: uncultured bacterium
Lineage: Bacteria
Description: bacterial SSU rRNA
Rfam family: Bacterial small subunit ribosomal RNA
Source: RNAcentral
AACGAACGCUGGCGGCAUGCUUAAUACAUGCAAGUCGAACGAGAAACUAGGAGCUUGCUCUUAGUGGAAAGUGGCGAACGGGUGAGUAACGCGUGGGUAAUGUGCCUAAUGGCUGGGGAUAACAGAGGGAAACUUUUGCUAAUACCGAAUAAGUUCUUCGGUCCCGCGGGACUGACGAAGAAAGAGGGGCAACUCUCCCCAUUGGAUCGGCCCGCGUCCCAUCAGCUUGUUGGUGCGGUAACGGCGUACCAAGGCAACGACGGGUAGCUGGUCUGAGAGGAUGAUCAGUCACACUGGGACUGAGAUACGGCCCAG